GAUGAACGCUGGCGGCGUGCCUAAUACAUGCAAGUCGAGCGAACAGACGAGGAGCUUGCUCCUCUGACGUUAGCGGCGGACGGGUGAGUAACACGUGGAUAACCUACCUAUAAGACUGGGAUAACUUCGGGAAACCGGAGCUAAUACCGGAUAAUAUCUUGAACCGUAUGGUUCAAUAGUGAAAGACGGUUUUGCUGUCACUUAUAGAUGGAUCCGCGCCGCAUUAGCUAGUUGGGAAGGUAACGGCUUACCAAGGCAACGAUGCGUAGGCGACCUGAGGGGGGGGUCGGCCACACUGGAACUGAGACACGGACCAGACUCCUACGGGAGGCAGCAGUAGGGAAUCUUCCGCAAUGGGCGAAAGCCUGACGGAGCAACGCCGCGUGAGUGAUGAAGGUCUUCGGAUCGUAAAACUCUGUUAUUAGGGAAGAACAAAUGUGUAAGUAACUAUGCACGUCUUGACGGUACCUAAUCAGAAAGCCACGGCUAACUACGUG
This 497-nucleotide ribosomal RNA is filed under the name uncultured bacterium. RNAcentral describes it as "partial 16S ribosomal RNA". It matches the Rfam family "Bacterial small subunit ribosomal RNA", at positions 28 to 507 of the family's 1533-position model. The record is from RNAcentral.